AUAUCAUUAGGCGGAGGAAAAGAAACGAACAAGGAUUCCCCUAGUAACGGCGAGCGAACCGGGAAUAGCCCAGAAUGAAAAUCUCCCUUUGGAGAAUUGUAGUCUAUAGAAGCGUCCUCUGUAGCGCGCGAAGCCCAAGUCCUCUGGAGAGGGGCGUCAGAGAGGGUGAGAACCCCGUCGGCUUCGUGUCUGCUGCCUCACGAGGUGCUUUCGCAGAGUCGGGUUGCUUGGGAAUGCAGCCCUAAUUUGGUGGUAAAUCCCAUCUAAGGCUAAAUACUGGCGAGAGACCGAUAGCGCACAAGUA
Molecule: ribosomal RNA, 304 nt
Filed under: uncultured Bracteacoccus
Lineage: Eukaryota; Viridiplantae; Chlorophyta; Chlorophyceae; Sphaeropleales
Description: partial large subunit ribosomal RNA
Rfam family: Eukaryotic large subunit ribosomal RNA
Source: RNAcentral